Long non-coding RNA from Felis catus (domestic cat), 947 nucleotides. RefSeq lists it as uncharacterized. The record is from RefSeq and is a predicted model, not a curated record. NCBI's taxonomy places the organism in Eukaryota, Metazoa, Chordata, Mammalia, Carnivora, Felidae. The transcript is spliced from 3 exons.
UGCUAUAAACAACAUUAUUGCACCAAUUAACAAAAUUACAGAACAGAUGGUAGAUUAGGUAAAAGAAUAGUAUCAAUGUUUAAUUUACUAAAGUGGAUAACUCUACUGUAGUUACACAAGAAAACAGCAUUAUUCUUAGGAAGUAUAUGCUGAGGUAUUUAGUAAGGGGAUUUGAUAUAUGUCACUUAGUCACAAAUGGUUCAGAAAAACAAAAUUCGAGAGCUCGAGUGAGAACAAGGGGAAGGGAGAUUGAGCACAAAUAAAAUGAGUAAAAAGGAUAAAUCUGAUUGUACGGUGUGUGUUGUAUACUAUGUACUAUUCCUAUUCUUAUAACUUCUCUAUGGGUUUGAAAUUAUUUCUAAACCGUUGCUGUUGACUUUUCAGAGGCUAAUGCCUGAUGCAUGAGAUUUAAGAGAAGAGGCAAAAUCAACCUUGGCCCCGAGACAGGAACAGCACAUGAGACAUCUUUCCACAUGGAUUGGUAGUUUUAUCAAGUGGAAUUUAAUCCCCCCAAAUCAAGAGGAUUAUUUUGGCUGUCGUAGGGACACAGAGUCAUAACACCUCAACCAGGGCGAUGCCAAUGGACGUGGAGGGAAAAGAAAGAUGUGGGGGAAAACAUGAAGGAAAAGCUGACAAGACUGGGUGAACAAUGAAGUUUAGAAGGUAAUGGAAAUGGAAGUUAAAUAAAGCUUCAUUUUGUUUUUCAAGCAAGAACUUCCUGUUUCUACUGUGCUAUUUGGGGGGGAAAAAACAACAACAACAACUAAUCACGAUAUUGUCGCUACACAUUGGACACUAUUGUCCUAAAAUAUAGCCUAGUGUAAGAUGUUAUAAAUAUAGAUAAAUAUGUAUAGCAUAGGAAAGAAUCAGAUACAUGCUAUAAGAGGGAAAUACACAAAUCGCUGUUGAAUUUGUCCCUUGGGAGAGAGGAAAUCUAAGUGAUAAAA